This 393-nucleotide unclassified non-coding RNA is filed under the name uncultured bacterium. RNAcentral's name for it is "contains 16S-23S intergenic spacer region". The record is from RNAcentral.
UCCCCGUUAUACGGGGCAGUCUCUCUAGAGUGCUCAGCGCCUUACGGCCUGGUGGCAACUAAAGAUAAGGGUUGCGCUCGUUGCGGGACUUAACCCAACAUCUCACGACACGAGCUGACGACAGCCAUGCAGCACCUGUGUAAGCUUACUGUAUUACUACAGCAUCGUCGGCCUUUCAGCUUUCUACUACCUACAUGUCAAACCCUGGUAAGGUUCUUCGCGUUGCGUCGAAUUGAACCACAUGCUCCACCGCUUGUGCGGGCCCCCGUCAAUUCUUUUGAGUUUCAGUCUUGCGACCGUACUCCCCAGGCGGGAUACUUAAUGCGUUUGCUGCGGCACGGAAGGGGUCGAUACCUCCCACACCUAGUAUCCAACGUUUACGGCUAGGACUAC